RNAcentral lists this long non-coding RNA (209 nucleotides) under Elaeis guineensis (African oil palm). RNAcentral describes it as "long non-coding RNA (EGUI_LNC078522)". The record is from RNAcentral. Lineage: Eukaryota; Viridiplantae; Streptophyta; Magnoliopsida; Arecales; Arecaceae.
AUGGAUUGGAUGCUCACGAUGACCUCACCGAAGAGAGGGGCGCCCCAAUUGAAGAUCUGGUACCAAUCCCUUUGAAUGACGAAAAUGCGGAGCAUGUAGCGAUGAUCGGCUCCAACCUGGGGGAGGAGGUGCGGAUGCGUCUCAUUGAUUUUUUACGAAGGAAUGCGGAUGUUUUUGCUUGGGUUCCAGCAAACAUGCCAGGGAUUGAC